This 1359-nucleotide ribosomal RNA is filed under the name Melipona scutellaris. RNAcentral describes it as "16S ribosomal RNA". The record is from RNAcentral. Lineage: Eukaryota; Metazoa; Arthropoda; Insecta; Hymenoptera; Apidae.
AAUAUUAAUUUAUUUUUAUUUAUAUAUAUAUAAUUAUUUAAUAAAAUUUUAUAAGAAUAUUUUUUUUUAGUAAAAAUUUUAAAUUAAUGUUAUUAUUGAUAGUUUAUAGUAAUGAAAAUGAAUUUUUAAAAAAUAUAUAAGUAAAAUUUUAUUUGUACCUUUUGUAUCAGGGUUAAUUAAUUUAAUUUAAUAAUUUAAGUAUCUCGAAAAUAAAUGAUCUAAAUAUAUAUUUAUGUAUUAAUUUUUUUGUUAAAUAAAAAAAUUUAAUAUAUAUUUAGAAAUUAUAUGUUUGUCGUAUUUAUUAAUAUCUAGUUUUUUUUGAAAUAAAUUUAAUUUAUAUUUAAUAAUAAUUAAUUAAAUAAUAUUAUUUAAUUAUUUUUUUUAAAUAAAAAGUUUAUGGGAUAAACUGUAAAUUUAGAUAUAUAAUAAUUAUAUUAUGAAUAAUAAAAUUAUGAUUUUAGAAUUAAUUAAUAAUAGAAAAAAUUUUAUAAUUUAUUUUAUAUAUAUAAAAAAAUUAUUUAUGGGUUAAAUAAAAAUUAUAUAUAAUUUUUAAAAAAAAAAAAAUUUAAAUUUAUUAAAUUUAAUAAUAAUGAUUAAAUUAGUAAUUAUAAUGUAUGUAUAAAAUAUAAAUAUUUAAAUUAUAUAUAUAUAAGGAAUUAGGCAAAAUAGUUAUAUUCACCUGUUUAACAAAAACAUGUCUUAUUGAUAAUAAUUUUAAGUCAAUCUCUGCCCAAUGAUUUAAUUAAAUGGCUGCAGUAUAAUUGACUGUACAAAGGUAGCAUAAUCAGUUGAUUUUUAAAUGGAAUCUGGAAUGAAAGGAUUAAUGAAAUAUAUACUGUCUCAUAUAUAUAAUAUGAAUUUAAAAUUUUAAUAAAAAUGUUAAAAUUUUUUUUUGGGACGAUAAGACCCUAUAGAAUUUUAUAUAAAGUUUAUUUUAUAUUAAUAUAAAAUUUGUUUUAUAUUUAAUUGGGAGAAUUAUUAAAUUAAAAAAAUUUUAAUUUUAAAAAACUUAGAUUAAAGAAGAUUUAUUGAUUUAAAAUUUUUAAUUAUUAGAAUAAAUUACCUUAGGGAUAACAGCGUAAUAUUUUUUUAUAGAUCUUAUAGAAAAAAAUGAUUGCGACCUCGAUGUUGAAUUAAGAUAAAUUUUAAAUGUAGAAGUUUAAUAAUUAAGUCUGUUCGACUUUUAAAAUCUUACAUGAUUUGAGUUCAAAUCGACGUGAGUCAGAUUGGUUUCUAUCUAAAAAAUAUUUUAAAUUAUUUGUACGAAAGGAAUAUAAUUUAUAAAUUAUUUAUAAAAAUUUAAUUAAUAUAUUUAUUUUUUUAUUAUUUUAACAUAUUAGUGUUUUAAAUUUAGAAUUU